GAUAUAUCUAAAUGGCAUCGUUUAUUUCCGGCCGGUGUUCCAACGAGUAUAGACGGGAAUGUGUCUGGCUAUUUUGUUUUUCAUUUUAUGCUCUGGUGGAACGGUAAAGAAUUGGUCAAGCCGGUUUGCGCGGAUGGGUAUGAAUUGAGGAAGCAUUUUUUAUUAUACU
This is a long non-coding RNA of Triticum aestivum (bread wheat), 169 nucleotides long. RefSeq lists it as uncharacterized. The record is from RefSeq and is a predicted model, not a curated record. The transcript is spliced from 3 exons. NCBI's taxonomy places the organism in Eukaryota, Viridiplantae, Streptophyta, Magnoliopsida, Poales, Poaceae.